This 250-nucleotide ribosomal RNA is filed under the name Mesorhizobium sp. Its description in RNAcentral is "partial 23S ribosomal RNA". It matches the Rfam family "Bacterial large subunit ribosomal RNA", at positions 2609 to 2853 of the family's 2925-position model. Lineage: Bacteria; Pseudomonadati; Pseudomonadota; Alphaproteobacteria; Hyphomicrobiales; Phyllobacteriaceae. The record is from RNAcentral.
GUUUAGAACGUCGUGAGACAGUUCGGUCCCUAUCUGCCGUGGGCGUUGGAUGAUUGAUUGGAGUUGUUCCUAGUACGAGAGGACCGGAAUGAACGAACCGCUGGUGUUCGGGUUGUCAUGCCAAUGGCACUGCCCGGUAGCUACGUUCGGAACGGAUAACCGCUGAAAGCAUCUAAGCGGGAAGCCGGCCAAGAGAUGAGUCAUCCCUUGUACCUUGAGUACACAUAAGGGUCGUUGGAGACCACAACGU